This 72-nucleotide transfer RNA is filed under the name Monodelphis domestica (gray short-tailed opossum). It matches the Rfam family "tRNA". Rfam says of the family: Transfer RNA (tRNA) molecules are approximately 80 nucleotides in length. Their secondary structure includes four short double-helical elements and three loops (D, anti-codon, and T loops). Further hydrogen bonds mediate the characteristic L-shaped molecular structure. tRNAs have two regions of fundamental functional importance: the anti-codon, which is responsible for specific mRNA codon recognition, and the 3' end, to which the tRNAs corresponding amino acid is attached (by aminoacyl-tRNA synthetases). tRNAs cope with the degeneracy of the genetic code in two manners: having more than one tRNA (with a specific anti-codon) for a particular amino acid; and 'wobble' base-pairing, i.e. permitting non-standard base-pairing at the 3rd anti-codon position. Lineage: Eukaryota; Metazoa; Chordata; Mammalia; Didelphimorphia; Didelphidae. The record is from Rfam by way of RNAcentral.
AAGAAAAUGGUUCAGUGGAAAGAGUGUUGGAUUUAGAAUCAGAGGACCUGGGUUCAAAUCCUAGUUCUAUCA